AUUAAACACACACAUGAUAAUUCACACAGAAGACAAACCUUUUAGUUGUGAUGCAUGUGGAAAAAGAUUUGCCUACAAAUCACAUUUAAACACACACAUGAGAAUUCACACAGGAGAUAAACCCUUUGGUUAAGAUCUUUGUGUGGACUGUUUUGGUUUCAAGUCACAAUAGAACAAUUGCAAGAAUCCAAACUGGAGAGAAACCUUUUGGUUGUGAUGAAUGUGGUAAAAACGUUCCCUUCAAGUCAAAUCUAAACCAGGAUGAUAGAAUUUACAGAAAAGACAAACCCAUUGCUAGUUAUGUUUGCCAGGGCCACCAUUCAGCCUAUGGUUUUAACAGAUUUAAAUGAGUGUUUCAUCGCACAUAGGUUGGUUUUAUGGAUUACAGACUUUUUAACAGGUAGAGUCCAGCAGGUUCAACACUCUCUGACAAAACAAUUACCAGCACAAGCUCUCCUCAGGGAUGUGUUUUAUAUUCAUUGUUAUUCACCUCGUACACCAACUCCUGCAAAAGCACUUUCCCUAAUAGACAUUUAAUUAAAUAUGCUGACGACAUGGUCCUUUUAGACGACAAAGGAGAGGAGCAUGGACUAGUUCAGACCUUUUCACUAAUUGGUGCAAAAAAUCCAAGUUGCUAUUGACUUCAGGAAGCUUCAGUCAUUCUCCCCAACCAUCAUCGAUGGAGAUCAAAUUGAGACUAAUGCUAGAAGUACCUGGGCAUGGUUCUGGACUGCCAUCUAAGCUGGUGACCUAGAUGUGAAUCACCACAUCUCUCCAUCCGUCCAUUGGCAGGUCGCCCCCUGGCGUCUUCAAAUAAAGUUUCUCACUUCCAUUUUAAGCGGUAAUAACUCUGUUCAACCAUGUGCUGAAGAAUAAUUACAUACCAUUGAAAAUCAAUUGUCCCAAAUGGUUAUAAAUUUCUAAUUUGGGAAAUUAUUCUUUUGAAAAUUAUUUUAUUAAAAUAAUGUUUUACUUACCUUCUGUUUUGUGUUGUGACUGGUUGUUUGAACAUAUACCAGUUGUUGCCCUUAAUUACUUUUAAAACUAAUUUGACCUGAUUUCCAGAUUCCUCAAAAUAAAUCCUGGUUUUUAAACCUUAA
Girardinichthys multiradiatus is the source of this 1100-nucleotide long non-coding RNA. RefSeq lists it as uncharacterized. Lineage: Eukaryota; Metazoa; Chordata; Actinopteri; Cyprinodontiformes; Goodeidae. The record is from RefSeq and is a predicted model, not a curated record. The transcript is spliced from 2 exons.